GUCAAUAUGGUACCGGAAAUCUCGGCUAAGAAAGGACAAGAUAAAGUCAACGGGAGUUAGCUCAAAAACUACGGUUAAGUUAAGGCUAGACUGUUAAAUCAGCAUUCCAGGCCGAUCCCAAAUUCAAUGAGGUAAAGUAUGUUGAGUAUUGAUAAUGGCAUGUACCUAGGAUGUUUAAUGAGAGUCAUUUAGGUUGUAAAAGUAUUGAUGAAAUAAGUAAAUUAUGGUUGGCAACGGUUUAUAGUA
Long non-coding RNA from Gossypium arboreum, 246 nucleotides. RefSeq lists it as uncharacterized. The transcript has 2 exons. The record is from RefSeq and is a predicted model, not a curated record. NCBI's taxonomy places the organism in Eukaryota, Viridiplantae, Streptophyta, Magnoliopsida, Malvales, Malvaceae.